UGUCCUACGGGGGGCAGCAGUGGGGAAUAUUGGGCAAUGGGCGCAAGCCUGACCCAGCAACGCCGCGUGAAGGAAGAAGGCUUUCGGGUUGUAAACUUCUUUUAAGAGGGAAGAGUAGAAGACGGUACCUCUUGAAUAAGCCACGGCUAACUACGUGCCAGCAGCCGCGGUAAUACGUAGGGAGCGAGCGUUGUCCGGAAUUACUGGGUGUAAAGGGAGCGUAGGCGGGGAUGCAAGUUGGGCGUCAAAACUACCGGCUCAACUGGUAGUCGCACUCAAAACUGCAGCUCUUGAGUG
This 297-nucleotide ribosomal RNA is filed under the name uncultured bacterium. Its description in RNAcentral is "partial 16S ribosomal RNA". It matches the Rfam family "Bacterial small subunit ribosomal RNA", at positions 335 to 648 of the family's 1533-position model. The record is from RNAcentral.